CCUACGGGAGGCAGCAGUGAGGAAUAUUGGUCAAUGGACGCAAGUCUGAACCAGCCAUGCCGCGUGCAGGAAGACGGCUCUAUGAGUUGUAAACUGCUUUUGUACGAGGGUAAACGCAGAUACGUGUAUGCAGCUGAAAGUACGGUACGAAUAAGGAUCGGCUAACUCCGUGCCAGCAGCCGCGGUAAUACGGAGGAUCCAAGCGUUAUCCGGAUUUAUUGGGUUUAAAGGGUGCGUAGGCGGAUUGAUAAGUUAGAGGUGAAAUGUCCGCGCUUAACUCGGGAUCUGCCUCUCAUACUUUUGAUCUAGAGCGUAGAUGCGGUAGGCGGAAUGUAUGUUGUAGCGGU
Molecule: ribosomal RNA, 347 nt
Filed under: uncultured bacterium
Lineage: Bacteria
Description: partial 16S ribosomal RNA
Rfam family: Bacterial small subunit ribosomal RNA
Source: RNAcentral